CUCCCGGGUGCCCAAAAUUGAACAGAUUGCAGUCUACAAUUGUUGACGGUCAUUGUUUCUUCACAGUACCAAGAGGUUGCUCUAGCAUUGACUGCAUAUUACAAGGUGUACAUAUGCAAAGAGGCAGCAUUUGCUGCGGUUUGUGUAGAUGUCAAGUAUCUGCGGACCAACGAUUCAUCUAGAAGUGUAUCCCCUACUACUGAAGAGACCUUGAAUCACCUCGGCUGCAGUGUGAUUCUUCUCUUCAAUUUCUACAGUCUCUGUGUCAGCAAAA
Molecule: long non-coding RNA, 274 nt
Organism: Salvia splendens (bonfire salvia)
Lineage: Eukaryota; Viridiplantae; Streptophyta; Magnoliopsida; Lamiales; Lamiaceae
Exons: 3
Source: RefSeq, a predicted model, not a curated record